AUGGAUGGAUGUUAUCUGCUCCUAAGCCAAGCCCUAACCAUGGCUAAAAAAACCAGGCAGUUCUGCAGGCAGCAGAGAAUUUCAGAGAUCCGUGUGCAGGCACCAACAGUCAAAGAUCACCUCCAGAAAUAUUUUUUCAGCCUGAAGAGUAUGUUUCUUUACUUACUGGCCUCCAUGUUCUGCUCAUUUUCCUUUCAAGGAACUGUUGGUACCAUGAGGCCAUUUAAAACAAUAACUUUGAUUGGGAAAGCAACACCUUAAUUAUAUUUUUUGUCAGUGGCCUGGUUCUCAUGGAGAUGCUUGAAACGGUUUGGGUAACAAGUUUCUCUCUUUUUACAGCUGUCAUGUUGCAAACAACUGCAUUCAUUUCAGAACUGCAAAUAGUUGGUUUUGUCAAUACUGUCAAUGUGGUAUUUUCAAAUUACCAGGUUCUAAGUUUACUGACACAUAUCAAGUUCAAGAAGUGCUUGAAUUUAUGUUAAUUGAUUUCCACAUACUUCAGUUAAACAUUUUCUAACAGCAUGAGCCAGACAGAGAUAAAUUGGAUACAUUGCAAUUAACAUAGGUGCAUUUUCUAUAGGCUAUUUUUCUAAUAUAACAGCAGUUUAAGAGUUUGAAGUGUCAUUAUCAAAUGUGUAGUUUAACUCACACAUUUUACAAAUGCACAAACUAGACCAAAUCAAGUUUCAAGCUAAGAUAUUUUAUUCUGUAAACAAUGCAAUAUCUAUCUAAAAGCACUAUUGUACAAUUGUUUGUGUAAAUAAAACUGUCUUUGAACUUGAUGUGUUUUAAAGGUGGCCAUACAUUUUUGUAUUCUGAUUUGCUUUUCUGGCAUAUAGAACCUUUGAAUCUUUAGAAUUAAAUAUAAUGAAAAAAGAAAAGUUAUGAAAGGUAUGACUGUAUUUUUAUCAAAAAUUUUUAUUGGCCGGGCGCGGUGGCUCAAGCCUGUAAUCCCAGCACUUUGGGAGGCCGAGACGGGCGGAUCACGAGGUCAGGAGAUCGAGACCAUCCUGGCUAACACGGUGAAACCCCGUCUCUACUAAAAAAUACAAAAAACUAGCCGGGCGCGGUGGCGGGCGCCUGUAGUCCCAGCUACUCGGGAGGCUGAGGCCGGAGAAUGGCGUGAACCCGGGAGGCGGAGCUUGCAGUGAGCUGAGGUCCGGCCACUGCACUCCAGCCUGGGUGACAGAGCGAGACUCCGUCUCAAAAAAAAAAAAAAAAAAAUUUAUUGUACUGAUAAAAGAUGAAAAAGAAGAUUAAAAACUGAUUUAAAAAUUAAUCCUUAAAUCUCCUCUCCAAGUGAUUUCAGUUUCCAAUUAAUAAGACAAGAUUUUAAGACUUCAUAUUACAUACAAUGAGAUUUGUGUUAUCGUCAUGGUUGUUGCAGCAAAUAACCAGGGUUUAGUUUAUUUUAAAAAUAAAAAUAAUCCUUGAAUCUCAUUUUAGUAGAAGAUUUGAUGGGUAGGAAAGAGAAGUCACUAAUCUGCGUAUUACCUACAUGUAGUCAUACUGGCUCUCCCUUGGAGACAAUAUUUAGAUAAAAGAUAGAAAAAAAAGUGAAUAGUCAAAAAUAAAAGACUGUUUGCUAAGUCAGGAAUAAAAUUCUUGGGAACACUGAUAUUUUGGCAAGUUCACCACCUCACUUAAUUAUUUCUCAAAUAACCUUGUGCUGGAUGCCAAAUUGGACCUUUCUAAAAACUGUUUGAGGAAAAUUUAAAUUCAAGUUUAAAACAUGCAGGAAAUAAAAAUGUCAGCACAGCAUUUCUUUUAGAUGUUAUUCAUCAGGACCUUUCUCCUUCCAGAUAGUAACAAAAAUUAUUAACCUUUAUAAUAAAUUAUUAUCACAAAUAAAUAUUCUGCCACUUUAUUUGGGGGGAAUUUAUUGAUCAUUUUCCUCCAGAAUUAACACUGUACUAAGGCAAAGAGGUACACAAUCAGAAAAGAGUUUGUGAUAAAAUUUUCUUUCAGUAAGUUUAAAAUAUGCAUAUGUAGGCAAGAUUCAAGCCUUUCGAGAUUGACUAGCUACCAGUAAUUUUCUAAGUAAAUACAAAGCUGAAAGUAGGGAAUGAGCAAAAGUUUAGUACCAGGUAGAUCUUUGUUUUAUUAUUGAAUCUUUCACAGGUUAGUUGUAUAAUUACCCACAACUAACUCAAACACUGAAUCUUGGUAUUCUUAUCUGUAAAUUAGGGAUAGUGGUAUCCCAUAUAAAAUAAUGUGUAAUAUUUGUUGGUUAUUGAAUAUUCAACUCAAUUAACACAAUAAGAUAAAGUAUUAUUGCAUAAAUGAGAUGUACAAAAAAAUUUUAAAAUGUGAGAAAGCAGUAAAAGUCAUCUUGUGCUAUAAUGCUGUUAUAACCACACAUAAAACCAGGGGCAGUUGUGGGGAAUUGUAACAAACACUUAUGAGGCAUUAGAUACUGUUAUUAUCCCCAUUCCCCAUUUUACAGAUAAGGGAGUUGAGUCACAGAGAGCUUAAUGAUCUGCCUUAAGUUGAGUAGCUAAGAAGUAGAUAGGUUAGAUUGUGCCCAGACACAAAGACAGAGUUUAAAUGCUUCACCCCACUGUCAUACUGCCUUCUUUCUUUCACAUUUGGUAAGUUGCAAACAAAAACAAGCAUUUUAUUCUAAAUGGUGUAUAACACAAUUAGUAAAACUAGAAUUAUAUUUUCAAAACUACUGAGGCAUUCUGAAAGGUGAAAAAAAGCAAUCCCACAUAAGAUAUAGGAAAAUGAAACAAAGAAAAUGGCAAAAACAAACAAACAAACAAACAAAACUUUAAAAAGAGGAAACACAAAAUAAGAGGACUAUAUUAGUGCAAAACAUGUUGCAUUUAUUAUUUCAUAAAUGCAAACAGUAUGAGUUCAUCUAUGAAAAUGAAAAAAACCACUAUAGAACUGAUUAGAAGAAAAAGCUCUACCAUAUGCUCUCUAUGACUGGAGCUCUUUGCUGGAAAUGACUCAGGCAGUUUAAAAGUAAAAGAUUAACAAUUUCAUGAGUUAAAUGCAAGCAAAAGGAAAAUAAUAAUGAGUUUAUUCCAGACAACUCUUCAGUUCUUGACACAUAAAACCAGAAACCUUGAUGAUUAUCAUCAACUUUGAAGAUUGUUUAUUUUUAUUAAUCUAGUUUUUAUCUCCAUAGCAGGGCCAACCAGCUUUUCUCUUCCAUUUUUCUCAUAUUGUGUUGUCACUGACAUCAAGCCAGUUCCUCAGGCAGAAAUCUAAGGGCCAAUUACUCCAACAUCUCCUUCACAGAUUGCGAAUUGGUGACCAGGUUCCAUAACUAAGUAUCUCUUAAAUUAAUUGUCUUCACUACAUAUUCACUCUACUAUCAUCUUUCAUUCUCUUACAAGAAUAAUGCAACACUUUUUAAAAAAUUAGCCUUUUUAGUCCUGUCUUGCUUCAGCCACAGCCAUCCCCCACUCAAUACCUUUAUGUCUUAAUUCAACAACACAACAAAAACAAAUAAAUCUCAGUUAAGUGCAUAUUGCGUGUCAGGCAUUGUACUGGAGCUAUGAUGAUGAAUAAAUUCUAUGCAGUCUCUGUCCUCAGAGAAGUUUUAGGCUGCUAGGUAGAAUACACACAUGUAUACUACCACUACCACA
This 3599-nucleotide long non-coding RNA is filed under the name Papio anubis (olive baboon). Its description in RNAcentral is "lncRNA (ENSPANG00000041971.1)". The record is from RNAcentral. Lineage: Eukaryota; Metazoa; Chordata; Mammalia; Primates; Cercopithecidae.